Molecule: transfer RNA, 71 nt
Filed under: Neotoma lepida (desert woodrat)
Lineage: Eukaryota; Metazoa; Chordata; Mammalia; Rodentia; Cricetidae
Rfam family: tRNA
About the family: Transfer RNA (tRNA) molecules are approximately 80 nucleotides in length. Their secondary structure includes four short double-helical elements and three loops (D, anti-codon, and T loops).
Source: Rfam by way of RNAcentral
GUGGCUGUGGCUCAGUGGUGGAGCACCUGCCUAGCAUGAAUAAGGCCCUGGGUUCAAUUCCCAGCACCACA